This 246-nucleotide ribosomal RNA is filed under the name uncultured bacterium. RNAcentral describes it as "partial small subunit ribosomal RNA". It matches the Rfam family "Bacterial small subunit ribosomal RNA", at positions 26 to 285 of the family's 1533-position model. The record is from RNAcentral.
AGAAUCAACGCUGGCGGCGUGCCUAACACAUGCAAGUCGAACGAGAAAGUGGAGCAAUCCAUGAGUAAAGUGGCGCACGGGUGAGUAACACGUGACUAACCUACCCUUGAGUGGGGGAUAACCUAGGGAAACCUGGGCUAAUACCGCAUAAUACCUUCGGGUCAAAGGAGCAAUUCGCUUAAGCGAGGGGGUCGCGGCCGAUUAGUUAGUUGGCGGGGUAAUGGCCCACCAAGACGAUGAUCGGUA